Molecule: ribosomal RNA, 112 nt
Filed under: uncultured bacterium
Lineage: Bacteria
Description: partial 16S ribosomal RNA
Rfam family: Bacterial small subunit ribosomal RNA
Source: RNAcentral
CCCGGGUCUUGUACACACCGCCCGUCAAGCCACCUGAAUCGGAGGUACCCGAAAUCGUCUCUCUAACCCGCAAGGGAGGAAGGCGCUGAAGGUAAAACUGGUGAGGAGGGCU